This 869-nucleotide long non-coding RNA is filed under the name Equus asinus (donkey). RNAcentral's name for it is "lncRNA (ENSEASG00005035622.1)". The record is from RNAcentral. Lineage: Eukaryota; Metazoa; Chordata; Mammalia; Perissodactyla; Equidae.
GUUCCAGGGUCACUUCUAUAGCACUGAUGAACAAAAGACUGAUGAACAGGUCUUCCUGAAUUAUAUUCUUCUAUCAUAAGCUGGUGAUAUGGUUACCAGGUACCUCUAGGCGAACCCUAGAGAAGUCAGAUUCCACUUGCUGUGCUGUCUGAGACCAGAAUUGAGAGGGGAAUAUGAACUAGUUAGUUUGAAUUUGAGCACUAAUGCUAUGGUGGCUUCAGGAGACACAAUUGACCCUGUGGAGAGACUGGCCCUUAUCCUGGGAGUGGCUAAGACAUCUGUCAAUGUCAGAAAAUGAAGAAAUGGAAGCAAUUGAUGAAGCUCUCCACUGAGCAAAUGAUGGAGAGUCAAGAAUGCAGGUAUGUGGAUCCCAUCAAAUCUGAGGAGGUGCAUCGAAAUUGGGUCCACUAUACACUUCUCUCGCCUACAUACCAAUGUAAUGGUACAGCAUUCCCACUUUUCCAUCUCUAGUAUACUGACUUCAGGGAUAAGACUGAAACAAUUCCUUGAGAUGACAACAUGGCUUUUCUGCUGUAGAUAAUGAGGUUUAUGACAGGCAGAUCAUCACUAGCAGAUGUUGCCCUUGGCAAAUCAGUGAUGAUGGACAGGCUCAUGAAAAGCACAAGAAGACCUGGAAUUUGCAAAAUGUGGAGCAGACAGUCAUUAUGGAUGUGAGUGCACAUGAUAAUGAUGAACAUGACCUGCAUAACCCAUACAAAUUACUGACAAUCGUAUCAGCACAUCCCAGGAAAAUCACGUUAUGGUGAAGGUAGUGAGAAUGAGAGAGAUCAGAGAAAAAAUAUGAACAUUUGCUACAGUAUUUUAUAUGUUAGAAAUUACCUAUAAAAAAAUGUGGAAAAAUUUGCGAA